CCUACGGGAGGCAGCAGUAGGGAAUAUUGCUCAAUGGGCGAAACCCUGAACCAGCAACGCCGCGUGGAGGAUGAAGGUUCUCGGAUUGUUAACUCCUUUUGUUAGAGAAGAUAAUGACGGUAUCUAACGAAUAAGCACCGGCUAACUCCGUGCCAGCAGCCGUGGUUAUACGGAGGGUGCAAGCGUUACUCGGAAUCACUGGGCGUAAAGCGCGCGUAGGCGGGAUAGCAAGUCAGAUGUGAAAUCCUAUGGCUUAACCAUAGAACUGCAUUUGAAACUGUUAUUCUAGAGUAUGGGAGAGGUAGGUGGAAUGCGUGGUGUAGGGGUGAAAUGCGUAGAGAUCAAGAAGAAUACUGAUUGCGAAGGCGGCCUGCUAGAACAUAACUGACGCUGAUGCGCGAAAGCGUGGGGAGCAAACAGGAUUAGAUACCCCGGUAGUC
Molecule: ribosomal RNA, 440 nt
Filed under: uncultured bacterium
Lineage: Bacteria
Description: partial 16S ribosomal RNA
Rfam family: Bacterial small subunit ribosomal RNA
Source: RNAcentral